Molecule: long non-coding RNA, 1033 nt
Organism: Cheilinus undulatus (humphead wrasse)
Lineage: Eukaryota; Metazoa; Chordata; Actinopteri; Labriformes; Labridae
Exons: 2
Source: RefSeq, a predicted model, not a curated record
CAGGAGCCAGUUCAGUUUAAUCAUUUUACAUUACAUUUAUCUUUGCCUUUUAACCCAUGAAAUUUUAAUUUUCUUUAAAUUAGGCUACUUGAGUGAAACUCGGUCCCAUUGUCUGUCAAACAAACAACGGUAGCACUUAAAUGGAAAUCCCUUAACUCCCCUCGAGCUGCUUGAACGGUUCAGGAAAUGAUCUGGCGAGGAGUAGUGACGUUACAUUACGUGUUUUAAUGAAGAACAGCUUGAUGCGCAGUUCACACGGCAGAGAGCGAGAGGGGAAGGCAGCAGAUGGUUCAAAAAAGCUGCACUUGGGGAAAGGCUUUUUGAACAAUAAAUAAAACAAAACAGCCUGAAAUUACUCGGAACCAUCAAAUAGAAGCGUGUUUCUCACGACUGCGUCGUAUGUUGUUGGAAACAUCUUCAAUCUUCAGCUUCAAGGAGACAGAAAGAGAGACGCUGCAGAUAACCGAAGCUUUCAACAUUUGGCAUCUACUUCAGAAGUCAUGGUGGCAGCAGUACUCAAGAUCUACUUCAUUGGAACUGCACUGAGUGUCCUCGCAGUCUUUUAUGGAAUAAUGGACUCCUUUGGUGGUCUCAUGUACGUCCAGGAUCAUCACUAUGUUUUGGAUCUUGACCACCACACACAGAGACAGAUCUCCGCAACUAACCAGCAGAGAGGAUCAUCUGUGACCAAAAACAUCGGCUCGUGAGGGAGGCACACAAGCAUGGCUGCUGGAUGGACAUGCAGGGUACAGUAGCAAUGGAUGACACAUGAUAACAGGACUGAUAAUUACACUGGUCUGUCUAACUUGCUGGACAUGUUUGGCAGAGGUAAAGUCUCUGUUCUUGAACCACAGCAUGUCUUUGUUCAGCUUUGUCCCGUGUCAGUCAUUGUAGCAGCUACGUUUUCACCAAGCAACUGUGUGAUGAGAAAUGUGACAGCACUACUGAUCAACAAAUUUGCACUAAGAUUAAGAUGUUUUCCAUUUUUCUGUGUUUGUAUUAUUUUUUUAUUAAAGAAAUCCUGUUAAAAUGA